RNAcentral lists this ribosomal RNA (328 nucleotides) under uncultured bacterium. RNAcentral's name for it is "bacterial SSU rRNA". It matches the Rfam family "Bacterial small subunit ribosomal RNA", at positions 28 to 334 of the family's 1533-position model. The record is from RNAcentral.
GAUGAACGCUGGCGGCGUGCCUAACACAUGCAAGUCGAGCGAAGCGCCUUACUUGAUUUCUUCGGGAUGAAAGUAUUGUGACUGAGCGGGCGACGGGUGAAGGUACGCGUAGAUAACCUGCCUCAUACAGGGGGAUAACAGUUAGAAAUGACUGCUAAUACCGCAUAAGCCCACGACCCGGCAUCGGGUUGAGGGAAAAAGGAGCAAUCCGCUUCGAGAUGGCCUCGCGUCCGAUUAGCUGGUUGGUGAGGUAACGGCCCACCAAGGCGACGAUCGGUAGCCGGACUGAGAGGUUGAACGGCCACAUUGGGACUGAGACACGGCCCAG